UCCGGUUUGUCACCGGCAGUCUCAUUAGAGUGCCCAACUGAAUGUAGCAACAUCGGACAGGGGUUGCGCUCGUUGCGCCACUUAAGGCAACACCUCACGGCACGAGCUGACGACAGCCAUGCAGCACCUGUGCUAGCCCCCGAAGGACACGGGCUUUCACCCGCUUUAACCAGCAUGUCAAGCCCAGGUAAGGUUCUUCGCGUUGCAUCGAAUUAAGCCACAUGCUCCGCCGCUUGUGCGGGUCCCCGUCAAUUCCUUUGAGUUUUAGCCUUGCGGCCGUACUCCCCAGGCGGAGUGCUUAAUGCGUUAGCUGCGGCACAGAGAGGGUUGAAGACCUCCCCACACCUAGCACUCAACGUUUACGGCGUGGACUAC
Molecule: unclassified non-coding RNA, 375 nt
Filed under: uncultured Actinomycetes bacterium
Lineage: Bacteria; Bacillati; Actinomycetota; Actinomycetes
Description: uncultured actinobacterium contains 16S-23S intergenic spacer region
Source: RNAcentral